Molecule: long non-coding RNA, 3362 nt
Organism: Liolophura sinensis
Lineage: Eukaryota; Metazoa; Mollusca; Polyplacophora; Chitonida; Chitonidae
Exons: 3
Source: RefSeq, a predicted model, not a curated record
GAAUUUACCAUUCCAAGACAAGUCCAGACAGCAGUGUUGAAAUCCAGGGCUCAGUUAGAGAAACCAAAAGGUCUUCUAGUGCUAUUAAAUCGGAUUGUGGAACGAUAAUGCUAAUGUGGCCUUCUGUGUAAACCCGUGGGAAGACGGAUGUCUACGGCUGGGUAUUAUCAGAAGGACAUGCUUAGAAAUCUCCCUGCAACACUUCCGAGGAACAUGAGACAUUUCCACACGAAGAAGAAGAGCUGGUUCAACUUCAUGGGCAAGAAGACGAAGACGUGAACUCACAUCCAGUCCUCAUGUUUGCAAGUUCAUCUUUCGACCAAGAUUGUAGGAUCUGAUACGUGUGGAUAGGUUCCUGUACAGCUGUGAAGGACGCGUGGAGGAUAGAUGGUGAUAGCGUACAUAGGUUCCAUCCGCAGUAUGGAUGGUGUCCAAAAUUGGAUAGCUGAUGUGUAUGGCUUUCAUCAUGUGCGGAAGUUCAACCAUCGAUGGCUUUUACCACAUGUGGAUACCACUCAAGUCACCCUGCAAGUUCCAGAAGGCUUUCUGCAGAAAAGAACGGCUUUUGCAGGAGGCAAGUUUUGUGAGCUAAUGGAGCCUAUUGUCAAUUGGGAGUUCCAGUCUUGUUCAUGACAAGGAGAUACCAGCCACUUCCUUUUUGACAGAGGGACAUUAGGGAGGUAAAAUCUGUGGCAUCUUCUUAGAUCAUGUGGUGCUCAACAUGUCCAUGUGCAGCUGGAUUGUCCCUGUUAUUUUGAGAAGUGCUCAAGACAAAAUCUGACUGCACCAACCAUGAAAUGUCGAACUUGAAAGGUGCAUGUUCGACAUUGAAAACUGGGACGGUGCAAAAACGCUCUUGAAACUUAAAAGGUGCUUUAUGAGGUGCUCUCGUGUUUGUAGACAGGCCCACUUGUUGAUAUGUCAAGAAAUUGGUGAUGGCAUUUGGAAUCAGGACAAAAAUCAGAGAUAUGAUAAAUUACAAACAAGCAACAUGGGUGACAAUUUGAAACUGUUACGAAUAGUCAGAAUGUGUUUAAUACUAUGUGUAACAUCUGACCAGUGACACAUGACUGUGAAUGGCACAUCUACAUAUGUGUGAGCUUGAAUGUAUAUGGAGGGUUUCGAAUAGCUACUUUGUUUUUAAUUGUGCUAUCAAGAGAGAAACAUUUUUAAAAUGUGAUUUCCAGUCAAAAGCAUGCUGCUUAUGUUUUGGACCAAUGUGACUGGCCACACCCGUUUUUUGUUUCAUUUUAAUCAUAAUUUAGUUUUAUCAUAUUUUUAGCUGAAUCUUUGAUGUAAAGACCCAUAUGUUCUUAUCAUCAUUGUAUAUGUCCUCUGAAGACUUUGACAAAGGGAGGCAACUUCAGCAGAAUCUGGUGCUAUUUAUGUAAAUCUACAUUUACAUAUGUAUGUAUAGGAUUGAUGAAGCAUUAAGAGGUAUGUUACGGGAGUGUCUUUAUCAUGCCGGUGUUAGUUGUAGAUCUUUUUGGUUCAAAAAGAAUAAAAGUGUUUGCAGCUAUACAUGUACAUUGAUAAAUUCACAUGUUUGUUUUAUGUUUUUAGCUAUUUUAUUUUACCGGCCAAGUCUUCUCAUUUUAUAUGUAUCUUACUGGUUGUAUACCAGGGUAAAUACGACCAUCAACAUGGCAUGUUACAUAGAAGCCAUUGUGACGAAGCUGGGAUCAUUUGAGCUGUGAAUAUAUUUAUAUGUGGAAAAAUGAAAUUGUGUUAAUUUAAGAAUUUAUUUCAUGAGUCGAUAUUCGAUAUACCCUGUUCAUGAAACCCAUGGAACGUACUCAUUGGUAAACAUACCCGAAGUGGCAGUUAAAUAUUGCACUGACCAAACUUCGCAGCUGAGCAGAUUGUGAGUUCACUCCCACCUUAUGGCAACUUUAUAUUUUGUUGCCUUUCAAUCAAAUGCUGUUCAUAUUAAAGAUAAUAGGCACAUAAAUUAUUUGAAAUGUGUGUGUGGCUGUUUAACUGAACAUAGCUGCAUAAAACAAUAAUUCAGGGAUAAACUUAAUAACAGUUUAAUGAUAUUUACAAUUUAUUAAGUGAAUCAGAAGAACUAAGGGGCACAUGCUAUCCUGCGAGUUCAUCAGUUGAAAAAUUAUGUUGUUUAUAGUCGGAAUUAACUCUGUUUGGAAAGUACCAAGAAGAAAUAAAGAUACAGUAUAAUUACUUAUAAGUCAGUUGAUGAAGAAAGAGAGAAAAUAAUGCUGAAACUGAACUGUGUUAACAGGAAAACAUGAUUUCUUUCUUGGCCAAAUCUUCAUGUACUCUGCUGCUAGCCAGUGUAAUCUUAACACUUUGCAUAGUGUUUCAACCAUUUUUGUCCAGCCAGCCUUUAUAAAACACACAAAACAUUUGGACUGAAAUUUUGCCAAGAUCAGUAUACAUUUAGUUUUAUGGGUAUGUAUUCCUCAUCGAAACAUCUCUUCACAUCUUGGCAAAAUAAGUUAUUUUUUGUACAACAUUUAGUAACUUGGCCCUUUAUGUGUCAUGUCUACAUUUACAAGCACUUUUAUAGGUCUUUAGAACCUAAUUUAUUUUGUAAUAUUCCAUAUACUUGUGAUGUCCAAGACCAGAAAUAUCACACAACGAAAGAAAACAAAGUGUGUUCUCAUAGCAUGACUAAUGUGGGAUUUUUUUUCAUGAAAUUUGGACAAAUAAUUAUGCACUUUAUUUUCAGUUAUAACAAUUUUCUUAAAGUUCAUCUUGAAAAUUUUAACAUUUGAAAAUCAUCAGUUUAAAGAGGAAAAUUUACCAUAUCCCACAUGGAUUAAUAGUGGUUCACAUGGCAAAUUCCUGCCAUGUGUAAAACAUCUAAUAAAUAAAACUCUGAAUAAUGUUUCCUAGUGGUAAAAGUGUUCGAAAGUAAGAUUACAGGUUGAAACAGAGGCACCUCCUGGAGGUUGCAAGUGCAUACCAAGUUAAGGAGGCAGUUGGAGGUGCAAGACAGGCUAUGCAAUAGGGGCCUUAUCUGAAGGGCUUUGAUUUUAAAUUCUCGUUAUGCGUGGAUGCAUGACAAAGUGCUUUAUUACCAUUGUACUAACGUUACUGGGAUAUGCAAACAAUCUGUAAUUUCAUGCUAUAGUAUUCAGUUAUUCCAGAUGACUUCAAUGGACAUGUGUAAUACUAACAGUACGAUUUUAAAGAAAUAAAAUUUGGGUGGGAAAGUAACUGAAUUAAGGGGGAUAACUCUGUUGUGUAAAAAUUUGUUAGCUAUGCACUGUCAGUAUUUAUUAAUGCCACCUGUGACACAUCAUAUGAUAUACUUUUAUAAUGGUGUUUUUUUAUGUUUCUACAUUGUACAGUAUCUGAAUGGAGAGAAAUCAUGAUUAAAAGGUAAAAUUAUGGAA